CAAUAGCGUAUAUUUAAGUUGCUGCAGUUAAAAAGCUCGUAGUUAGAUUUCGGGUGGGAAUGGCCGGUCCGCCGUUUCGGUGUGCACUUGCUACGCCCACCUUGCUGCCGGGGACGUGCUCUUGAGUUCACGCUCGGGACACGGAGUCGGCGAGGUUACUUUGAGUAAAUUAGAGUGUUCAAAGCAGGCCUACGCUCUGAAUACAUUAGCAUGGAAUAACACGAUAGGACUCUGGCCUAUCUUGUUGGUCUGUAGGACCGGAGUAAUGAUUAAGAGGGACAGUCGGGGGCAUCCGUAUUUCAUUGUCAGAGGUGAAAUUCUUGGAUUUAUGAAAGACGAACUACUGCGAAAGCAUUUGCCAAGGAUGUUUUCAUUAA
Molecule: ribosomal RNA, 377 nt
Filed under: uncultured eukaryote
Lineage: Eukaryota
Description: partial 18S ribosomal RNA
Rfam family: Eukaryotic small subunit ribosomal RNA
Source: RNAcentral